Molecule: ribosomal RNA, 497 nt
Filed under: uncultured bacterium
Lineage: Bacteria
Description: partial 16S ribosomal RNA
Rfam family: Bacterial small subunit ribosomal RNA
Source: RNAcentral
GAUGAACGCUGGCGGCGUGCCUAAUACAUGCAAGUCGAGCGAACGGACGAGAAGCUUGCUCCUCUGAUGUUAGCGGCGGACGGGUGAGUAACACGUGGAUAACCUACCUAUAAGACUGGGAUAACUUCGGGAAACCGUAGCUAAUACCGGAUAAUAUUUUGAACCGCAUGGUUCAAAAGUGAAAGACGGUCUUGCUGUCACUUAUAGAUGGAUCCGCGCUGCAUUAGCUAGCUGGUAAGGUAACGGCUUACCAAGGCAACGAUGCAUAGCCGACCUGAGAGGGUGAUCGGCCACACUGGAACUGAGACACGGUCCAGACUCCUACGGGAGGCAGCAGUAGGGAAUCUUCCGCAAUGGGCGAAAGCCUGACGGAGCAACGCCGCGUGAGUGAUGAAGGUCUUCGGAUCGUAAAACUCUGUUAUUGGGGAAGAACAUAUGUGUAAGUAACUGUGCACAUCUUGACGGUACCUAAUCAGAAAGCCACGGCUAACUACGUG